Non-coding RNA from Macaca mulatta (Rhesus monkey), 1492 nucleotides. NCBI's taxonomy places the organism in Eukaryota, Metazoa, Chordata, Mammalia, Primates, Cercopithecidae. The record is from RefSeq and is a predicted model, not a curated record.
ACCUUCUUUAACUCACUGUCUUUAUCUCCAGCUACACCCUGACAUGUGCCUUCUGACAAGCAAGCUUGUUGUUUUUCAACAUGUGAUAAAUGCUUCCCGCCUGUCUUGCUUUCAUAAUAUCCUUAACUAUAUAUUCAUAAUUAUAUCACUAACAAUACCUUAUACAUUUUUAUGUCGUGUGAACUUUAUAAAGAUGGAGCCCAUUGUACAUAAUUCCCAAUGAUUCCCUUUUUAUUCAACAUUAGCUUUUGGGUCUAGCAGACAUCUGUGGUGGCCCACAACACCUCGGAGAUAUAAACAACAGUGAGAGGAGUCAAGACAAAAUGCUCCAGCCUUGCACCUUCAGCUCUGAGCUGUAUUCGAUGUGAUUCUUCCGAGUGUUCCCAAUGGGAUUGAGCACAGUGUUCAGAGUGCACUGCUGGGUUAGGGUCUCCCCGACUGAGCUGAUCUCGGCAAGUGGCAUCCAUUCAUAGGGGCUCAAAUCCAGGUCGAAGGGUCGCUGGAGCACCGGUUGGAACGGAAAACUAGCUGGAGGACACCCGAGUACUCUUAAAGCAAUCCCCGUGAUGGAUCUAGUAAUGGUAAAACUUCUUAUUCUGGCUCGAAAAGUAAAGUUUUCCAGACGUCCUACAUUCAGCUCAAAAAGCGGAGCUUGUAGCUGUAAUUGAGGCCAAAAUCAACAGCCGAUUUGGAUACCAUCAAGACACCUGAAACCUUAUUAUGAGCCAGAUGCUGAGGAAGAGACUCCGGGAGGAUCCCGAGUACCCCCCAGUUGCAGCCAUGUCGAGACUGGAGCUGAGGAGGAACCCAACUGUCACGAGCAACACCCGUCGAACACAGCCACCCACCUGGGGACAGAUCAAGAAGCUGUCACAGAUGGUGGAAGAAAACCUGAGGAAAGCAGGACAACCAGUCACAAUGAAUAAUUUAAUGGUAGCUAUGAUAGCAGUUAUCACCACUGCUGUGAGUAUUCCUUCAAUAACGGCUGGUAAUAAUGCCUGGAUACAACCACUAUGACACAGUUACACAUGCUUUCUGAUCUCAGGAUUUACCGUAAUAAAUCUGCUCCUAUAAUUGAGGCAUACCAUGCUCAAAAACCUAUUUGUGAACAGGAUUGGACCCAGUUUGAAGAAAUGAACGUACUUGUCUAGGAAGAUUGCUUUGCAGCACGGGCAGAGGUGCUGCACAACGAUUCCUAUGGAAUCAUUAUUAAUUGGUCCCCCAAGGGGAUGUUUAGCUUGAAUUGCACCUCUCAGUCUGCGUGCCACAGUCAUACUAUGUUCAGAUGAUCUGAACAAAACGGUCAGAUGGUAGAAAUGAUAAGAAGUAUGGCAAAUGUUCCUAUUAUCUGGAACCAUGGCGAUAUAGUGGCACCUCAACCUCAAAUGAUAUGGCCCGCUCUAGGAGCUUAACAUAAGGAUUUAAAAUGAAAAGAACAAAUAUUUAAAGCAUCCCAGGCACACCUGACCUUAAUUCCAGGAACUGGAGUGCU